CCUUUACCUUAAAGCACGAAUGCACCCUGGCCAAGGAGACAAUGUGACACACAAAGGAGGUGACCCUGCAGUGCGACAGAUCUGAAUGCACGGAGUACAGAUGGAGCAUCUCGGAGGGAUGUGGUCUGAGGAAUCACAAGCAGAAAGACUCUGUGUGUGCAGCCACCCUACGGAUCCAAGGGAAACUGUGUGAGAUGGAUGGGGCUGGUGGUCCCAGGCAUAUCCACCUCCAGCGAAGUUGAUGCAAACUUGACGCCAACACCAAGCACUUCUAUCCAAACUUCAACGGAAACUCCAAGCCAAGCAGGUUGGAUGACAAGCACACCAACACCGACCUUGGGAAGAGCAACUGUGAAUGUGGGGAACCUUUCAACACAGAAAAGAACUGUGGAAAAAUGAAGAUAAGUAGCAUAAACUGGAUGCAUGGUGGCCUUUCUAUUGCUAAGAAUUUGUCUGCAUGAGGAUGCCCUGUAUGCAUGCUGGCAGCUCAGUGCAACUCAUUGAGGGGGGAUGCACCGCAGGACAUUUCCCCAUCCAAGUCUGUUCUGGAAGGGCAAUAUUUCACUGAGAGAGAGAACAUGCACUUUGCAAGUGCAAAGAGAAGCGUAAGACCCUCUUAAAUGUCUGGCCCCAGGCAAUCUGUUUCCUUUCACAGGGCUGCUCUUGAAGCAGGUCUGCAAAGACUUAUCGCUUCCAUCUGCGCCACAGAGACAAGGGCACCGUUCUCACCCCAGUUCCAUACAGACAUCCCAGAACUGCUGACAGCUGCCACAGCCCCAUAGCAGAAUAUUCCUGCAUGUCUCAGCAAGCUUCCCAAGCUGCACACAUGGGGAUGUGCAGACACACACACCCCCUGUGCAGGCGGCUCCUGGGUACCCAACCGUGUGUUCUCCUUGUUGGGAAAUGGAGAACCUUCCUCCAUUUCAGCAGCUCCUCUAUCAGAUGGCACCCCAAAAAAGAUAGCUGGGAGAUUCACCCAUAUUCAGUUCUGGGGCCCCCAAUGCAAGAAGGUCAUGGAACUGUUGGAGAGGACCCAGAGGAGGGCCACAAAGAUGAUCAAAGGGCUGGAGCACCUCCCCCAUGGGGACAGGCUAAGAGAGCUUGGGCUCUUCAGCCUGGAGAAGAGAAGAUUCCAGAGGGACCUUAUAGUGGCCUUCCAGAACCUCAAGAGGGCCUACAGGAAAGAUGGAAAGGGACUUUUAUAAGGGCAGAUAGUGACAGGAUGAGGGGAAACUGUUUUAAACUGGAAGUGGGUAUACUGAGGCUAGAUAUCAG
Lagopus leucura (white-tailed ptarmigan) is the source of this 1275-nucleotide long non-coding RNA. RefSeq lists it as uncharacterized. The transcript is spliced from 3 exons. The record is from RefSeq and is a predicted model, not a curated record. Lineage: Eukaryota; Metazoa; Chordata; Aves; Galliformes; Phasianidae.